UAUUGCAUUUAUGAUAAAUAAUACGAGCUGUAAGCUACAAAACUAGUUAUACUGGAUACUGCUCUCAGCUUCAGAAUUUACCUAGUAUUUUAUAAUGGACGAAAAUAAGACUUCUAGAGGUAAGACACUGUGUUGAUGAAAUGAUUUAUAUUAAUUCAUUUUGCUAAAGGUAAACUUUAUGGAAUUUAUAUCAGAAUGGUUUGUCUUUAAAAUGCUUUUACUUACAAAUUGAAAUCAUGUUCGAAGAUAGAUGUUCAACUCAAUUAUAUAGUGUGUGCAUGUGCUUCCGGGGUAAGGAAGGAGGAGGCCAAGUGUAUGAUGCUGUCAGGGGCUCUGAGGCAUCUGCCUUGAAAAAGAAUCAAAUGGUUAUUUCUCAUUUGUUUUUUGUUAUUUAUAUACAAUUUUUGCCUUUCAUAGAUUAAUGCAGUGGAUGAGCCUAGAAUUUGGGCCCCGAAACAACCUAAGAAAUGAUUUUAUUGCAGUUUGACUUCCAACUGCAUUUAGUGUGCUGUGAACAAUUUUUGUUUUGCUUUCAGAGCUAUAAGUAUCUGAUAGUGUGCAAAUUUGGAAGAGUUCCCCAGAAUUGCUGUGGAAAAAAAGGCCAGAUGCCAAUAUUCUGUUUUUAUUUUUAGAACAUGAUAUCAAGUUCUAUUUUACUCAUUAUAUGAUUUUUUAAAGUUUCAGAAAUAUUUAUUGGGCUUCCCCCAUCUACAGUCAGAUUGCAGUGGCUUGAAUCAGUGCACACAUUUACUCUGCUUUUUAGAAUUAUCUGCUGUUUAUUUGUGCUCCACAAACCCAAAGGACAAAAUUCCCACUUGUCAGGUACAUUUAUUUCUUGGGGAAAAAAAAGAAAACCUUCUUUUCGCUUUUUGUUGACCUUGGGCAAAUGAGCUUCUUGCCCUGGCAGAAAUGAAAUGAAUGAUAAAUGUAGAGUGUGUCUUUGCUGAGUAAUGGAGCUGCGGCUCCGGCUCCGUAGAGGCUCUCUCCCGCACAGCCCGAGGCUGCCCGAGGACCCCUGCUGUUCAUUUAAAUAGGUAUGUCAAAUCUGCCUCCAAACGCCGCCGGUUUGAUCUGUGGUAAUAUUUGUGAAGGUUCCAUAUGGACUUGAGCCCCCUGCAGUGCUAAGAAAUAAUGUACAACGCUUCAUGGUGCAGACGCAAAUUUUCUCUGAAAAGGGAUGCAAUGCUGCGUUUUAGCUGUCGGAGGGGAUGAUGGAGCUGACGCGCUAGGCCUGUCAACUUGUUACACGGAUGGGUUGCACGCAGCGAAGCUGUGGAAAAUCUGUGCCUUUUAACUUUUCUACUUAAUCACGGUUGUAGCAUUGCCUUUAGACUGUAUGCUACAUUAAUUCUCUUCCUGCCUUCUGCCUUUCGUCCCAAGUUUCACGGAAAAAAAGUAAAGCAUGCAGGUCUUGUAGAGGAGCCUUAUCAAACAGCUGUCAUCUGACAUGCCAUUUGCAUUUGUUUUGGCUGAAACUGAGCAACCCAAGGGCAAGAUAUUUCGUUGCAUUCCAUCAUAAUGAGGAAAUUACACAUCUUAUAAGAGACCUAACUUUUUUUUUUUAAGUUUGUUUUUAUGUUUUAAAAGGUAUUGUUCAAGAAACUGAUCAGUUUCUAAGUGGAUAAAAUGUUACCAUACUCUCUGACUAAAAUGUCAAAUGAUAUCUUAUUAAUAAACAUUCUUUGUUUUUGAGUAAUUUAAGUUUUGUUAUGUAUCGAUAGAAGAGUCCUUUGGGCUUUUAUAUUUUAGUGCAAUGCAGUAAUUUCUAAAUGUAUGCCCUAUGCAUACAUUUCAGCAUUAUGUAUAGCAGGUGUUAUUAAUUACAGCUGCAGUCACACCAGCCUAGUUUCCCAGAUAACACAUAUCACGAUCACCUGCCGGAGAUACUGAGACUUUGAAAUAGUGACGAAAUGUUCAUCAUUCACCCUACAGAAGCAUUUUUGUAGUGGCCAGGCACUGCGUAGAAAGUCCAGCUAUAACACUUGGAGCCAUCUCGCCUGUCUGCGCUCUCUUUGUUCUGCCUGGUCUUGAUGGUGAGGGGAGCCAUCCCCUUCCCACCGUGAGUGAUCACAGGACGGCUGUCCCCACUGCGGCACGGGAGGUCGCCCCUGAAGACUGUGGCAAGCUUUAAAGACUUGGAAAUGAAUCCUUGUUGCUACCAUUUAUUUUCGUUGAUAGAAUUUUUUCCCUAUGUGACGGGAUAACAGACACUAAGCCAAACUGUUUUUCCCAUGUCAUUGCCCAACUGUAAUCGUGGGAGGCCCGGAUGCCAUUGGCCAGGAGUUGUGACAGGAAAACACAUCUAGAGCCUGCGUGCAUUUGGCGUGAGGAGACCCUUCUGAUGCCGAAUAACCUUUCUUGUCCUCCUUAAAGAUGCCAAAUCUUCUUUUUAGUAUUUGGUGACUGUUUGCAUACGAAGCAUAUAUAUUAUGUUACAGCAAUUAAUAAAAGAUGGCCCUGAUGCACCUUGCAGUUAAGAUCAGUGUAUGAUACUUUAGUGGAUCCUGUUUCCAGUUGACGUGUAUUUAGUCUGUCCCCUUUCUGUGGAGAAAUGGGGAGGUUUUUGAGGAAAAAUGGCCAUGAAAUAUAAGAUACAGUUUAUUGUUCCUGCCCAGAAAUGAAGCGUGAUAGGAAAGUAUAAAGUGAAGGGGGAUUUGCUGAUCCGUGAUGUUCUCAUGUUUUGGAAACGUGCCACACUCCACAGGUUCACUUGCAGGGCACUUGGGCCCCCAUUUUUCUAUGGAUAUAAUGAUCCGCGUGUCUUCAGGUUCCUGGGAAAGUCGAUUAAAAACUCAUUUAUUUUACACUAAUAACAUGUAUGUAUAUAAUGAAAAAAGUAUAAAACCAUAGUAACAAAUAAUUUCUUAAUAAAAAGUAAUUUAAGAAGAAAUAAGAAACUUCCUGAGUUUCUGAAAGCAUCAUUGAGCACCACGAAGGGACCCCCUGCAUGGUGGCACUGGCUUGGCUGGCUUUUCACCAAAAAUGGAUGGCUUCUCCCUUCCUUAAUGUCCAUUUAACUAGUAGAACUUGUUUGCUUUUCUGACAUGAUUUAGGGCUUUAGGUUUCAAGAAAGAGAGAAAGAAUAAAGUUUCCUGAAACAAUUGAGCAAAGGUGUAAAAGGAGAGGGAAGAAUGUUAAAGAGGAUGUAGAUGUCUGUGUAAAAAAUAAAAUGCUAUACAGCAAGAUAGCCGAGUUGUGGCUAGCCUAGGUGAAGACUGUGGGGAGUGGAGAAAGGACUAGGCCAGAGAGGGGGCUGCCCGUUGGAUCCAAGGCUGUAAACCCCACCAGGGUUACCCCCUUUCCCACUGCAGCUUGGACCUGUCCAGGACAACCAAGCUGGUGGCAAAGGCCGCAGCCUUGGUGGUCAUGGUUCAGUUUCUGAAGGUCCUUUAAUUUGAAGAAAAAAACAUUUACCAGUACGUAUGUUUCUGGAAAAUAAAAAUAAAAAUUCACUCACUAGCAGAGCGCACGUGGCCGGGCCGCACCUGCCCAGCCGUGAAAAAAGUACAUCUCCUGGAAAGGAUGCUUUUUAGCUGAGCUCUGGUGGAUGAGAGGAGCUAGCCUUGAAAAACUUGAUACUGAUGGACAUUGUGUGGGCCAGAGGCAGGGAUGGUUGGCUAUGACCCCAAACCAGAUAGCAGGAAUAACACCAAGUUCCAGGUGGCAGUGGCUGGGUCUGUGUCUGGACUUGUCACUCGGGCGCUGAUCAGUCCCUUCGACGUCAUCAAGAUCCGUUUCCAGCUUCAGCAUGAGCGCCUGUCUCGAAGUGACCCCAACGCAAAGUACCAUGGCAUCCUCCAGGCCUCUAGGCAGAUUCUGCAGGAGGAGGGGCUGACAGCUUUCUGGAAAGGACAUAUCCCCGCUCAGAUUCUCUCCAUAGGCUAUGGAGCUGUCCAAUUCUUGGUCGUUUGAAAUGCUGACGGAGCUGGUCCACAGAGGCAGCGUGUACGACGCCCGGGAAUUCUCAGUGCACUUUGUGUGUGGUGGCCUGGCUGCCUGUAUGGCCACCCUCACUGUGCAGCCUGUGGAUGUUCUGCGCACCCGCUUUGCAGCUCAGGGUGAGCCCAAGGUCUAUAAUACGCUGCGCCACGCUCUGGGGACCAUGUAUAGGAGCGAGGGCCCCCAGGUUUUCUACAAAGGCUUGGCCCCCACCUUGAUCGCCAUCUUCCCCUACGCGGGGCUGCAGUUCUCCUGCUACAGCUCCUUGAAGCACCUGUACAAGUGGGCCAUGCCAGCCGAAGGAAAGAAAAAUGAGAACCUCCAAAACCUGCUUUAUGGCACUGGAGCUGGUGUCAUCAGCAAGACCCUGACAUAUCCGCUGGACCUCUUCAAGAAGCGACUACAGGUUGGAGGGUUCGAGCACGCCAGAGCUGCCUUUGGCCAGGUGCACAGAUACAAGGGCCUCAUGGACUGUGCCAAGCAGGUGCUGCAAAAGAAGGUGCCCUGGGCUUCUUCAAGGGCCUGUCCCCCAGCUUGCUGAAGGCUGCCCUCUCCACAGGCUUCAUGUUCUUCUGGUAUGAAUUCUUCUGUAAUGUCUUCCACUGCAUGAACAGGACAGCCAGCCAGCGCUGAGCGCAGGAAGGACCCCAGGUCUGUCCUGGAGGCAGCGUCCUGAAGGAAGGAAGAUUCAGUCUCCACUGAGAGGUGCUCUCUGGCCCUUCCCUGUGGGCCAGCUGCCCCCAGCAGGGUGGCAGCCUUGAACCCACCCAGCUGGGACACCACCAGAAGGUCCAGGGCUCUCCCCAUGAGAGAAUCAGAGGGAAUGCAGGACAUGGUCUACGGUGAACCAACGACACAGCGAGAAGGAGCAGGAAGUUGCUGUUUCUCCUCUGACCCCAGCCCACACUCCAAAGGAAAGAGAUGCCAUCCUACACCUGUCAGCCCUGUCUGCCCGGAGAACAGAACGCUCCUGGUCUGGAUGGGGCUGCUGCUUGAGUGCGGAGGGCUGCAGUAGGCCCUUUGCAGGAGUCAGGUCCCCACACUCGGCCUGUUUUUCCCAACCUAUUUAAUAGACAUUAAAGCUAAACGCACAUUC
Rhinopithecus roxellana (golden snub-nosed monkey) is the source of this 5035-nucleotide RNA transcript. It is a transcript of the gene named mitochondrial thiamine pyrophosphate carrier pseudogene, with no coding region annotated. The record is from RefSeq and is a predicted model, not a curated record. The transcript has a single exon. Lineage: Eukaryota; Metazoa; Chordata; Mammalia; Primates; Cercopithecidae.